GGGAGCAACCUGACCCCUGCUCAUCACUACAAUGACUUUCGUUUCAAGACCUAUGCACCUGUUGCCUUCCGCUACUUCCGGGAGCUAUUUGGUAUCCGGCCCGAUGAUUACUUGUAUUCCCUCUGCAGUGAGCCGCUGAUUGAACUCUGUAGCUCUGGAGCUAGUGGUUCCCUAUUCUAUGUGUCCAGCGACGAUGAGUUCAUUAUUAAGACAGUCCAACAUAAAGAGGCGGAAUUUCUGCAGAAGCUGCUUCCAGGAUACUACAUGAGUCUCGCUCUGUUGUCCAAGCUGGAGUGCAGUUGCACAAUCUCGGCUCACUGCAACCUCCGCCUCCCAGAACCUCAACCAGAACCCUCGGACUUUGCUGCCUAAAUUCUAUGGACUGUACUGUGUGCAGGCAGGUGGCAAGAACAUUCGGAUUGUGGUGAUGAACAAUCUUUUACCAAGAUCGGUAAAAAUGCAUAUCAAAUAUGACCUCAAAGGCUCAACCUACAAACGGCGGGCUUCC
Molecule: small RNA, 508 nt
Filed under: Pan troglodytes (chimpanzee)
Lineage: Eukaryota; Metazoa; Chordata; Mammalia; Primates; Hominidae
Description: processed transcript
Source: RNAcentral